CCGUUUCCCAGGGCUGGAUCUACAGUGCCGGGAACCCGACGGCCGCAGCAAGCCUCCAGGAGGGCGCAGGGGAGCCGCUCAUGUCAGCGCGGGGGUCCCGGAGCUUGCACUGGUCAGGUUCCUCCAGGAUCACGGGGUCCUUGAGGACUUUUCCCUACCUGCGAUCCCUGUCUCUCACUUUGCUGAGAGGGACUAUUGAAAACGAAAAGGAAGAAAUAAGCCAGAGACCCCAGACACACGUUUGUAGCACAGAUGCGCACGCCUCAGAAACCUUUCAUAAGGAAACAGCGGCUCAGAGGCACUGGGCCAGUGAGUGACUGAUAGACAUGGGAACUGAACAGAACAGACACAGAGAUUCUCCAUCUUAAACAGUACAUGCUGCAGCCUCAAGAGGCAGGUAUGACCCAGCAACACCAAAGAAUUAUCAGUGUCUGCUUAUCCAGAGGGAAAAGGAAGAGUUGCUCCAGGCCAAGGCUGAAGACCAUGCACACAGCUGCUGCUGUGCAGUACUUUUCCUGCGUGUAACAAAUGAGCUGCAGUCCCUGUAGUUCCUGGUUUUAUUCUGUGCCUUUGAAAAUAAAGAGCAAUCUAUUCUC
Molecule: long non-coding RNA, 596 nt
Organism: Strigops habroptila (Kakapo)
Lineage: Eukaryota; Metazoa; Chordata; Aves; Psittaciformes; Psittacidae
Exons: 4
Source: RefSeq, a predicted model, not a curated record